Molecule: long non-coding RNA, 2032 nt
Organism: Talpa occidentalis (Iberian mole)
Lineage: Eukaryota; Metazoa; Chordata; Mammalia; Eulipotyphla; Talpidae
Exons: 3
Source: RefSeq, a predicted model, not a curated record
CUCUUGUGGAAAACAACCCCUUUUCCUCAAGAGAGGCCGAAGACUUGGAGAAAGAAAUUGCUUCAUGAAUAUGGCAAAUUUACCUGGUAAUAACAAAAUGGUAUAAGUGUGGAAUGCAGAAUAAAGAACAGAAAUGGUCCCUUCCCUAGAAAAAAGGUUUUCUAACAAAGUUGCUGUAAAUACAAGAGACUACUUUUGGGAAGAAAGGAGUUUCCUAUUACUGAUGAUGUUCAAACAGAAUCACAAUCAUUCACUUGGUGUGUUUUCAAGGGGAUUCAGUAGUGCAUGGGAGUGCGAGGAGAGUCUAAGAUUCUCUGACUUCACUGUGAAGCACUAGAACUUUACAAUCAAGAUACCUCGUCUGGAAUUUCAUUUUGAAAAGUAAAGGAAUCAUAUAUAAACCUCCAGUGAUCAAAGCAGAUCAUUCUUGGGAGCAAAAAGAGCCAACACGAAGCCUGUAUUUCCUUGUACCAGCAGCUACUCCAGAAGAGAAAAAAAGUAAUGUGCAUAUAAUUCUCUAUUGUUUUUCAUACUACCAUUUCAGAGAACAGUUUUGACAGGUAUUGGAAGCACAGCCCAUGAGUCUAGGAUCACUUCUCGCUAACUGUUUAUGCUUCUGUGAUCAAUCUUUCUGCACUACAAACCUGGAGCAUCAUGGAGUACUCCCGGGGCUGACUCACCAUUUAAACAUGCUCCCUUCCACCUCCCAGUCUCAUUAGUAUGUAUGAUUUCAGCAAUGAAUAUAUACCUCUUGUACAAUGAGGCCAAAUGUAUGUUACCAUACUAGCAAUAACUUUGAUCAUUUAGAAAAGGAUAAUCACGAACAAUUUGAACCAUAAAUAGUUGAUUUAAGAUAUUACUAUCUAGAAAAAGUUAUCUGUUUUUAAAGUUGAAUCAGUGCUCAGUUAUAAAAUCAGUCUUACUAACCUCCUCGAGCAAAGCUAUUGGAUGGGUUUACAUCCAAAUGUCCUGGCACUACCUGCUUAAGCACAGUGGACAUUCUUGAAGUCCUCCUUUCAGUCCCUAAAGUCAGCCAAAAAGAAGAACAAAAACCAUGUCGUUUGGGUUAACAUUACUCAAAUGACAAAAAGUUAUCUUCAUGUGUAGCAUGUCUAAUUGCUGCCAAACAUUGUACUUUUUAAGUACCCGAAGCUUUAACAGAAAUAACAAAGCACUGUUACUAUUUCCUCAGAGAUACACACAUUUGCAAGAUUAUAGAGUUAGGUUUGGCAAGUGCAAUCAGAGAAUUUAAUGGUAAAUGAAGCAAGGCAUGCAUGGUGUUACUUUCCAAGAAAAGCCACUUUCUGCUUAUGUUGAGAUAAUUCAAAUAGCUGAUUAAGCCAAGGAGACCAACUUUUCAAGUCACAUGCUCCUGUGUCUGACACAUUAGGGUUACCUCUACAUGAACCCUUUGGGGUUCCAUCACAUGAUAACUGAAACAGAAUAUUAGUACAAGUCUUAAUUGCUUUAUCCAAAUCUAGUGAAAACAAACUGUACUGCAAAUUAUAAAAUGCUGUGGAAAUUUUGGGAAUUUCAAACUUACAAUCUUAACAAAUAUACAUUUAAUAAACAUUCAACUUUAUAUUUUAUAAUUUAAAGUUAUUGUAAAACAAAUUCUAGGAGAAAAAAACAAAACCAGAUGGCUUUAUGUUCCCACCUCCUCUCCUGCUCUUUUCAAAAGAAAGUAAUUAUAUUUCUAAUUUGUUACUAUUUAUUAGAAAGUAAUAGUGGUGCUCUGAGUUUUAAAUAAAAGGAGCAUCAUGUUGAAAGGAACAGAGCAAGUAACUAAAGAGACUAACCCUAAGAACAAAUCUGACCUUUCAUUGUUGUCAAGAAGGAAAGUAUUGUCGAAUCUUACCUGGAGACAGAGCAAAUGCUGGCCUGACAGUAAGGGUGUUAUUGCCAUUGAGUUUUUGAUGGACAGAAACUGCACUCAGCAAGGCUUGCAAGUACUUUUCUUGUUCUAUGCUACUGGAGGAUUCUAGAGAGGAGGUAGGAGCUAUAAAAGGAAAAAAAUAUUGAAUAAAACAAU